Molecule: long non-coding RNA, 707 nt
Organism: Zea mays
Lineage: Eukaryota; Viridiplantae; Streptophyta; Magnoliopsida; Poales; Poaceae
Exons: 4
Source: RefSeq, a predicted model, not a curated record
CUCGCAUUGUCGGCGCAAGUUGGAGCGCGGCAAGCGGGUCUGUCAUUGUCGGCGCCGCCGUCAGCAGCCCGGCGGCGGCGGGCGAUACCGCGCUCGCCGAAGGCUUCCGGCUGGGCCACGGCGGCGUGUGAGGUUGAUGAUGGGGUCAACUGCCUAUGCAUACAGUGCAGCACCGACCUCUGGGAGUCUGGGUAGGCGUUGCAGUUUGCAAACAACAAAUGCCUGCUGCAAAAGUAAAGAAUCUGAAUCAUCAAAAGCACUGGAUUGGUGGAAUCUGUACAAGGUCAGAGGUAACCGAAGAUAUUCCGUAGCCAUGUGCCGUGUCUAUGCUUGCCUGUUCGUCAGACUUGGAAUAAGCUAGCUGCAGCUUCUGCUCAAGUUUGUCCCUCUCUUCUGUCACCUGGAGAACUCGGAGAAAUUCAACACGAGAAAAAACAGCUGGGAAAACUAGCAAAUGCAUCAUGCGGUUUUAAUCAAGUUGGAAAUUCCAAUAACACAAGGACGGCCUGUAUUAGCAAGAACAUACUAUGACAACUGCAGGAUUGCAAAACUCCACCAUGUUAUUUUUAUUAUUUGCUGAUCAUCUAUAUGAUGGUGUGUGUGUUUUUCACUUCUAAAAAUAUUGCUGCAAGGGUAAUGUUUACCUUCUGCUUGUAGUGUGCAUCAGCUGAUGUUAACUUCUGUGUCAGAUCUUCGAUUUGUUUCUC